Meleagris gallopavo (turkey) is the source of this 514-nucleotide non-coding RNA. NCBI's taxonomy places the organism in Eukaryota, Metazoa, Chordata, Aves, Galliformes, Phasianidae. The record is from RefSeq and is a predicted model, not a curated record.
CUUGGAGAGCUGUAUCUGCUGGUGGCCUUCCAAAGAGAUGGAUGAUGCCACCAUUUCUUUGGACAGACUGUUGCAAGAAAAAGUGCCUGAAUCUCCUCUGUAGCAACUAAAGGACACUAUCCCAUCACAGGUUACCUGGGAGAAGAGGAUGGCAUAAGAAUCCAGACAAAGCAACUCAAGUGGAAGCAUUGCUUUCAAGGAGGAUAUGGGGAGGGGGAGAGUUUUCACUGAAUAACUGCAAAAUUUCCAACACUGAUUAAUGUUUGAAGAGAAACUUUUCUAUUCUCCUUUUUGUUGUCUUCCAAUGUAUUCUCAUUCUCGAAUUUUGAGAACCCCCAAGACCUAUAAAAGAAUGAGACUAUCAAACAAAGGCUGAUACACAUGUGUUUGGGGAUGAAAAAUGUGAAUGGAGUAGCUCUUUAAGGCACUUGACAUUUAUAAGAUUGAUGAGACUGCUCUUAAAUACAUUAUUUGAAGUCUUUGAAUUCUCUCUCUAUCCAGCUGAAGCUGGGUG